Molecule: unclassified non-coding RNA, 1300 nt
Filed under: Bombus terrestris (buff-tailed bumblebee)
Lineage: Eukaryota; Metazoa; Arthropoda; Insecta; Hymenoptera; Apidae
Description: misc RNA ENSBTSG00005022351.1
Source: RNAcentral
GAAAGAGUGACUUACUUUCGUUAACUUAUAAAGAAAGCAAUCGCGAUCGAUAAAAUGAAGCGAGUAGAUCAACCUGUAACACAAUAUACGCAUAUAUCGCGUAAAAAGAAGUAAGAAUCAAACAAUGAUUCGCGACUCGUAGUUAAGACCCGGUGAUGAUUUAUUAUUGCAAUGGCGCGGCCUAUCCAGAUUAUGCAAUAAUACGUGGGGAUACUUCAUGCCACGUAGGCGACGCCAAUGGCGACGUUGUAGGCACGUGGCAGGGCACAUGCACCAGUGUUUACAGCUGCAAGUAACAAGAAAAAGUCAUUAUGAUGAAAUAAAGCAUGAUAAAAUAUACCUCGAUUGCUUCAUUUGCACUUUGCACACUGGCAUACUUUGCAUAACCACAAUUUUUCCCCGGAAGCAUGUAAACAUCUAUAAGGUUCCCAAAUCUACAGAAAGCAUCUUUCAUUGCAUAUAUUGGAGGUACUGGAGGUCCACAUACAAUGAAACACCUUUUAGCAACCUCUGCAUCUAUACUAGCCAUUGGUUGCACAGGUGGUAAUUUCACACACAUCGAAUGCUCUAAACCUAAUUAUGUAAAAAUAUAAUUAAACAAAAAAAUCAUACAUUAUCACAUUAUGUAGAUAAAAUAAUCUCUCACUUGGUGCAGUUAAUCCUGCAGCUUGAAUUAAAGAUGUAGCUUGAGCAAUAGUUUCAGCUAAAUGUGCCAAAUCUGUCCUAGCACUAGCAAUUCCAGCAGCAGAACUACCAGGUUUUAUUGCAUUUUUUGGUGGAGCACUUGAUAAAUCCGGCUUAACUAUCAUCCUAUGACCAGGAGGAUAUUCAAAACCAUGAAACUUUUCUCUUGCAUAUGCUGCUGCACUAGGAUUAGAAUAUACUACAACAGCCUGACCUCUUGGCAUUCUAUAUCGUACGUCAUUUUUCAAAUGACAAUAAUCCAAUCCAGGUACAAUGUCAAAUAAUUUCCAUAAUUGAUCUUGGUUCAAUGCUGGAUGUGCAAUUACUUGCAAAUGUGUAUAACCUUCGGAAUUAGGAUAAUUUGUGGCAAUUUCUAAACUAAUACUGCUCUUUCCAAAAUUUGAUGAACUAUAACCUCCACCAGCGCUAUCAUAAUGAGAAGAUAUUCCAUUGUUGUAUUUCACAUCAAUAUGUUCAGGUUUUGGUUUUUUUGGUUCUGCAAAUACAGCCUUGUAUUUUCUAUCACAUUCUUCAAAUGCUUUUGCUGCACUAGAUACUUUUUGAAAUUUUACAUAACCAAAGCCUUUUGAUUCAUUCGUAUUUCUGUCUUUAACUA